Triticum urartu is the source of this 405-nucleotide non-coding RNA. Lineage: Eukaryota; Viridiplantae; Streptophyta; Magnoliopsida; Poales; Poaceae. The record is from RefSeq and is a predicted model, not a curated record.
UGCACUCCCUGCGCCAGCGGCACUGGUACAUUCAGAGCACUUGUGCGACGUCUGGGGAAGGGUUGUACGAGGGACUUGACUGGCUCUCCAACAACAUUGCCAACAAGGCUUGAAGCGCCUCGACAAGUGCUUCAUCAAGAAACAAACGUGCUGGAUGUCUCAACAACUCACUGCUACCAUUUUACAUAUUGUGAUAUAUAUACACUGUACAAGAGAUAGUAUGUGUGCGUAUGUGACAGGCAGAAGCUCCCUUCUUUAAGUGAGCUAGUAUCAGGUCAGGUUGUCUUUUUUUGUAUGGAUAUUAUCAGUUGCUGUUCGGUGGUUUUACAAGGUUUAAUGUGUCGACGAUGUGUGUCUGAACCCCUAUCUUUUCGAGUUUUGUUAAGAUUGAAUUGUGGUUGCCAA